CCUACGGGAGGCAGCAGUGGGGAAUAUUUCACAAUGGGGGAAACCCUGAUGCAGCAACGCCGCGUGAAGGAAGAAGUUUUUCGGUAUGUACACUUCUAUCAGCAGGGAAGAAAAUGACGGUACCUAACUAAUAAGCCCCGGCUAACUCCGUGCCAGCAGCCGCGGUAAUACGUAGGGUGCAAGCGUUAUCCGGAUUUACUGGGUGUAAAGUGCGCGUAGGCGGCGAUGCAAGUCAGAAGUGAAAGCCCAUGGCUGAACCAUGGAACUGCAUUUGAAACUGUUUUGCUAGAUUGCAGGAGAGGUAAGUGGAAUUCUUGGUGUAGCGGUGAAAUGCGUAGAGAUUAGGAGGAACACCAGUGGCGAAGGCGGCUUACUGGACUGUAAAUGACGCUGAGGCGCGAAAGCGUGGGGAGCAAACAGGAUUAGAUACCCUGGUAGUC
Molecule: ribosomal RNA, 440 nt
Filed under: uncultured bacterium
Lineage: Bacteria
Description: partial 16S ribosomal RNA
Rfam family: Bacterial small subunit ribosomal RNA
Source: RNAcentral